This 301-nucleotide ribosomal RNA is filed under the name uncultured bacterium. RNAcentral's name for it is "partial 16S ribosomal RNA". It matches the Rfam family "Bacterial small subunit ribosomal RNA", at positions 509 to 809 of the family's 1533-position model. The record is from RNAcentral.
CAGUCGCCGCGGGAAUACAGAGGGUGCGAGCGUUAAUCGGAUUUACUGGGCGUAAAGCGUGCGUAGGCGGCUUCUUAAGUCGGAUGUGAAAUACCUGAGCUUAACUUAGGAAUUGCAUUCGAUACUGGGAAGCUAGAGUAUGGGAGAGGAUGGUAGAAUUCCAGGUGUAGCGGUGAAAUGCGUAGAGAUAUGGAGGAAUACCGAUGGCGAAGGCAGCCAUCUGGCCUAAUACUGACGCUGAGGUGCGAAAGCGUGGGGAGCAAACAGGAUUAGAUACCCCAGUAGUCCCUGUCUCUUAUAA